UCCUCUCGGCCAAAAAAGCAAGGAAACGUAGAGCUGGCGUUGUCCAAGGGGGCUCGUGUCCGUCCAGCGGCCCCUCGAGUCCAAACGGGUGGAGUUUGUUGCCGCCAGAUGUGGAAGGAGCUGACGCUUUAGCCAGGUGACUCCGGGCUGGGCUGCCACUGUCAUCCUUCAUAUGAUGUAAUCCUUUCUCCAGGUUCUCCGAGAGCGGUCUGGGAGAAGUUUGCCCUGAAACAUCAAGAAAAGAACGCAGUGGGGCUAGGUCUAAACUUGUUAAACUGAAUUAACCCUCCUACCACAUGAAUCUAGCCUGCUCCAGUCUUUCUAAUCUUGUUCAGAGUUUGGGAUAAUUUGUUUAGUUGUGCUGAUCAGCUGGAGGUUAAUUCAAUUGGACUUCAGUUAUUUAUUCAUGCCCGGAUUUGCUAAGUGUCACAGCAGAUACAUGAGGUCUCCAUUACGGUUAUGAGACAGCUUCAUUAGUGUGACAGAGAGCUGGUCGGGAUCACUUCCUCCCCUCGCUCCAGUGGCUGGAUACCAGGGUUUGCUCCAGCAGAAGGAAUCUUUAUAGCCUUCCCCUUUCAUUUGUAUCAUAAGUGGAUGCUGUUGGUUAUUGUGUAUUGAUUAUAGCAGAAAAACACACUUCCCCACAUUCUGAUUGGCUGGGAAGGUCUAGCCAGUAAUCUGUUUGAGGACCCUCAGUAGCUUCCUAGCCCUAUAUUUUAAAUAGUGAAGUAAAAAUGCAAAUAUCUUUUUAAAAGGCAUUUAUAUUAAUAACUUGGGCUUAUAUAGUGCCUUUCAUCUCAGAGAGUCCUGUGGCACUUUCAAAAUCACUUUACACAUCAGUGAAAUGCAGCCAGCUCAGGGAUGGAACAUGGUAGCUCUUGAACAGUACAUAACAAUAAGCAAAACCAAGGAAGAACAUAGUAUGCAAGCUGGAGGAACUCAAGUUGGCAGAAUUUUGCUAAUCAAACUGGACCAGAGCCAAGACACUAGGAUUACCUCUUGUAAAAAGUGCUACUUGGCUACAAGUGCUCAUACAACCUUGGGUAAAAUUUUAUUGAAAAGAAGACUUCUUUGCCUGUACACUGCACUGGAACAUUGGUUCAGAGCUGUCUCAGUGAAUUUUUCCAUUGUGCUAAGAGUGAGAUCCAUGAACCAAGGGAGAACAGUUAAUGAAGCUUCUUGUCCUGCUACAGGGAACAUCAAAGAAUCGGUCAGUACUGCAGAAUGACGUCCAUUUAAAAAAAUAGUGUAUUUAUGUCUCCUAUCUAUGCAAACAUGGCAAAGUAAAUGCCUAUAAAUUAGCUUUCCUGUAGUUUACAGAAAAGGUCAGAUGGUGGAGAAAAUGUUCGUUAUAGAGAAGGCCCUGGACAAAAUUCCUUGUUUUAUACAGUAGGGUAAACGUGCAGUAAUGCUGAUGCUGACAGGACAGUUAUUCCAGAUUUGCCCUCAUCCAAACAAGAACACAGUCUGGCUUCCCACCCUCCUUUUUAACUGUUUCAUUUGACCCCCAGCCCUCAACUCCCUGUGUCAUUGGCUGUCUUGGAUGACACCAUCAAGCAUUAGUGCAGGCCCUGGGCAGUACUACAGUGCUGUGUCCUGAGGAUUAAUGGCACUAUUAAUCAUCAUAUCUUCUCUUGCUCUCCAUUCUUCAAUUAAAUCAUAAACCUGUGCAGAGGAGCAGCCAUUAACUUUCAAGGAGUGAGAAAUGUUCCCACAUGUUUGGCCUUCUUCGGAAAACACUGUCAUGGUUACACACCGUGAAAUAUGGUUUCAAACAGAACAAUGCUUCAGAAAGCAGCCGGGACCCGUGUUACAGCUCAGCGUCCUUUUACAAAGUGUCUCUGGGCUGUGCUGAGGGACACUGCAACGAUCCACAGUGCUCCCCACCUGCAUACAUGACACCCCAGAAUUGUCGAGGUGUAGCCGCUUGCAGGUGGCACUGGGAGCAUGCCAAGAAGCUUGCUGUCUUAGGCAUACUUCUAGGCACAUGUCCAGCAGUGCUAGAAGACAGGGACGUUACAUCUGCCUCACAGUGUAAUGUGCAGGGGGUUGGCAUGCUGUGUAUUCCAGCAGUGCUGCCUUGUGCAGUUUGGAGGCACCACGGCCAUACCCUUAAUGAUCUGGAAGCCAAAUUAGAGCUUCUGCUUAUCCAUCAAACACAGAGCUUAGGUCUCUGCAGUGCCGGCGUCCUUGAGAUGGCACAGUAAGUGUCUUAUCUUUGUCACAGGGUGGAACUGGUCCUUUAAGCAGCUGGGAGGUAAACUGCACCUGUGCCAGACUUGGCCUUGUUCCCAGGUGAAAGGAAUGAGGCCAGGGAUCCUGGGGUGGGAGUGGGUGAUUCAGAACCAGGCUUACCAGAGCAAUAGCAGGUAGUCUGUGUGUGGCCUCUUCAUUGGUCAAAGCUUCAUUGGUCAAAGGACUUGAGACUGGCUAAGACGGCUGAUGGUGACUCCAGAGCUCCUGGGAAGAAACUUGGGAGCUGAAGCUCCAGUUUGAGCCCUGCUGGAGGAUGGUGAGCUUGGCAGCAAAGCUAGAAGCAAGGGGAUGUGGAGGCAGCGGAUGGACCUGCAGCCUGGAUGAAGUUGCAGGUAACAGCAGUAUUCCAGCAUGACUCCUUCUGGGGACAGAUUAGGACCCACUCAGCUCAGUAAUGGACUUCAAGUCACAGACUAGUGGUGGCCUCUUAUGCUCUGAAUACUGUCUUCCAAAUCACUCCUGCUCUCGCCCACACCACACUGACCAUGCAAGUGUCUCCUGGAGCCAAAAGGACAUCAACGUCCAUCACAGCCUGGCGGGUGCCAACUGGUGCUGCAAUCAGGUCAUGGCUGUC
This is a long non-coding RNA of Alligator sinensis (Chinese alligator), 2830 nucleotides long. RefSeq lists it as uncharacterized. The transcript is spliced from 3 exons. Lineage: Eukaryota; Metazoa; Chordata; Crocodylia; Alligatoridae. The record is from RefSeq and is a predicted model, not a curated record.